UGCAAGGUAAUGGUGAAACGGUGGGGUAAAGCCCACCGCGCGGCUGGCAACAGUCGUGGCACGGCAAGCCCCACCGGGAGCAAUGCCAAAUAGGAACCGCAUAUGGGUCGUUUCAACCCCGCAGGUUCGGGUUGGCAGCUAGAGGGGCCUGGUAACAGGCCGCCGAGAUGAAUGAUUGCCCAAGAUUGCGCUGGCAACGGCGUGGAUCUGGACAAAAUCCGGCUUACAGGCUCCCCGCGCAU
This 242-nucleotide RNase P RNA is filed under the name Planktomarina temperata. RNAcentral's name for it is "partial RNase P RNA component class A". It matches the Rfam family "Bacterial RNase P class A", at positions 142 to 367 of the family's 367-position model. Rfam says of the family: Ribonuclease P (RNase P) is a ubiquitous endoribonuclease, found in archaea, bacteria and eukarya as well as chloroplasts and mitochondria. Its best characterised activity is the generation of mature 5'-ends of tRNAs by cleaving the 5'-leader elements of precursor-tRNAs. Cellular RNase Ps are ribonucleoproteins. Lineage: Bacteria; Pseudomonadati; Pseudomonadota; Alphaproteobacteria; Rhodobacterales; Paracoccaceae. The record is from RNAcentral.